Molecule: long non-coding RNA, 1865 nt
Organism: Daphnia carinata
Lineage: Eukaryota; Metazoa; Arthropoda; Branchiopoda; Diplostraca; Daphniidae
Exons: 9
Source: RefSeq, a predicted model, not a curated record
UUGGAGCAGAGUUCGCCACGAGAAAGAACACUCGAAAACCGUAGACAUUGAACAGCCACCACAUUGAAGAAUCCUUAAAUAAAUUUUACUUUAUUCCAUGUUAGUCAACACAAGCGAUUGGGGAACGGCAAAAGUUACGGUUCCACUGAAACGUUUUGAAAGCUUUUCAACCACUUCCAUGCUGAGAAUGUCGAGAAGAAACACGUAGCCAAGCAAAGCAAUUACCUGAGAGGCAAUUGAAAAUCAGCAUAAUAAUGAGAUGAGAAGACCAUGUAGCAUGGUUAAGCAACUUUGCUGUAUAUGGCGUAGCUCUGAUGCCAGAAGAUUUUUGAUUGGCUGUGAUAUACAUGGGGAAUAUUGCCACGUUGAUUGCAUAGAUAUUAUUGAGAAGAGCUCCUGCGUCAUUUAUUAGUUUUUCUAUUCAACAGGGAUCUGAGCUUCAUGAAAAAACUGGAACAGUUAAGGAAGGAAGAGUUAAGAAAAAAAGAAGUGGACACCAAAAUACCCCAACUGUGCUAAAUCAUUGUUUGUUAUCGUGUAGAAAACUACAAGUGUGAUGCUUGUCGAGGAAGAGAUGUCAACAGUACAACCUGCGCAGAGUAUCUCUGACAUUUGCCUACAAGGUAUCUUUUUCUAUUAAGUUUUAUCUUGUCUAAUUUUCUUUGGUUGUUUACUGUAUCAUGUAGCAGAAAAAGAUGGAGACAGUAGCGGAAGAAGAGGAAAUUUUUUAAAAACUCCUAAAGAAUGAUGCAGACUGUUUUGACGAUGAUAAUUGUACCCGAACAUGUGAAAGAAAAACCCGUUGUCCCGGUUCCCAAGCCAUCUCAACAUACGGCAACAAAAGAAGAGACUAGGAAAAGGCUAAAGGAAGCCAUCGUUCCUCUGCUAUUUCGGGGGACCACUGUCGCUAGAAGAAUCACCCCGUCUAUAGAUUCGGGAGGUAAAAGCGCAAUAAAAAAAUCUCCAACACAGUAAGCAGAAGGUCGUUCAUUGUUAUGAACCACAAUAAAUGUGUCAGGAAAUAAAUACUGCAGUGAAUAAUGCUGGCUAAAAUUGGCGUCAUCUUGUGUAUAUACCAGAUUUCGUCGUCAAAAACUCAAUAAGAACUGGAUAUAACUUCAGCAAAGGCUAAAACAUUUACCGUUGACAUUUACUAUGACGACGAAGCGUGUGAACGAGGCGAUAACGAAAAGGAAUCGGCCACUGUGUGGUACGUACAUCAUUUGCGGCAUCGGUAUUACGGCCAGCAAUGCGAUCCCACACAUGAAGCAAUGUUGCAACAAAUACGAAAGCCAAACAUUUCGGCACGUUCUAUUGACCUAAAUAGAAGGCAAGAACAUGUUUGAGUUUUACAAUACCAGUAAUCGAAUAUACUCCAUGCGAAUUCGUGGUUUUUGUUAAGAGCAUUGCAAAGAUCCUAUGGUCAGCAAGACUGAUGUAUGCAGCUAUUCUUCAGUACAGGAAGUUGUUGAAGAAACUGGAGAAAUCUGUCCUAUUCAAAAAAAAUAAGUCUCCAACGUAACAACUGGGAGAGUAAAAAUUUGUAUGAAAGGUGGCUUAAAAUUGAUGAGUAUUCGAAAAAAAAAAGCAACAAACAUUUUGUUCCUGACGUUUUUUGUCCGCACAUUCUAUUUCUCAUGCUUUUUUAUUAUUUUAUUCGUCUACCAAUUGAUUCUCUGGUGUCACCUGCCCAUUUAGUUUGUCUCGCUCUAUGUUUAACGCUUAAAAAUAGAAUUAACGACUUCGCAUUAAUGCAGUUCUCGAAUCAGCAAAAUUUUUCGAAUUCAGUUAUUUUUGGUAUAAUUGAAAAAACAAGAUGGCGCUGAUACGCCGCUAUGUUGGUUUUUUGAUUCGGCUACGUGUGA